This 396-nucleotide transfer-messenger RNA is filed under the name Bacteroidaceae. RNAcentral describes it as "UBA1179 sp017651315 Standard tmRNA". It matches the Rfam family "transfer-messenger RNA". From Rfam's summary of the family: Bacterial tmRNA, also known as 10Sa RNA or SsrA, is named for its dual tRNA and mRNA-like properties. Its role is to liberate the mRNA from a stalled ribosome. RNAcentral also lists the same sequence under 1 other name. Lineage: Bacteria; Pseudomonadati; Bacteroidota; Bacteroidia; Bacteroidales. The record is from RNAcentral.
GGGGCUGUCUGGCUUUGACAGCGGGCAGGAAUGGUACGUAAGCAGGCAGUGCUCUGUCAGUCCGCACUAUAAAAAGACGGUCAACAAUUAUCUGGCACAGAAAACUUUGCUCUUGCUGCCUGAUCGAAGUACAGUAGAUCGGCUUAAUCACGACACAAGGUGUUGUGACAAGACAUCACCCGGAAGCUCUUGCUCCGAAGCUCGUCGAUACGGUGGUGCAGUCAAAUCGGGGAUAGUUCCUGGCGGCUUCGCGUCAUGAAUGAAACAACAGAAGAUAAGGUUCAGGCCAGGUUGCUCCGGCCAAGCCUGUUCCCGACAAUCCAAUCGGAGAUAAGCCUGUAGAAAGCGUAUGGUUUCCCCGUUUGGACGAGGGUUCGACUCCCUCCAGCUCCACAA